UAGGGAAUCUUCCGCAAUGGACGCAAGUCUGACGGAGCAACGCCGCGUGAGUGAAGAAGGAUUUCGGUUCGUAAAACUCUGUUGUUAGAGAAGAACAGCGCAUAGAGUAACUGUUAUGCGUGUGACGGUAUCUAACCAGAAAGCCACGGCUAACUACGUGCCAGCAGCCGCGGUAAUACGUAGGUGGCAAGCGUUGUCCGGAUUUAUUGGGCGUAAAGCGAGCGCAGGCGGUCAAUUAAGUCUGAUGUGAAAGCCCCCGGCUCAACCGGGGAGGGUCAUUGGAAACUGGUUGACUUGAGUGCAGAAGAGAAGAGUGGAAUUCCAUGUGUAGCGGUGAAAUGCGUAGAUAUAUGGAGGAACACCAGUGGCGAAGGCGACUCUCUGGUCUGUAACUGACGCUGAGGCUCGAAAGCGUGGGUAGCAAACAGG
This 429-nucleotide ribosomal RNA is filed under the name Bacteroidota bacterium. Its description in RNAcentral is "Bacteroidetes bacterium partial 16S ribosomal RNA". It matches the Rfam family "Bacterial small subunit ribosomal RNA", at positions 355 to 776 of the family's 1533-position model. The record is from RNAcentral. Lineage: Bacteria; Pseudomonadati; Bacteroidota.